AUUGAACGCUGGCGGCAUGCCUUACACAUGCAAGUCGAACGGUAACGGGCCUUCGGGUGCCGACGAGUGGCGAACGGGUGAGUAAUGUAUCGGAACGUACCUUUCAGUGGGGGAUAACGUAGCGAAAGUUACGCUAAUACCGCAUAUUCUGUGAGCAGGAAAGCAGGGGAUCGCAAGACCUUGCGCUGAUUGAGCGGCCGAUAUCAGAUUAGCUAGUUGGUGAGGUAAAGGCUCACCAAGGCGACGAUCUGUAGCGGGUCUGAGAGGAUGAUCCGCCACACUGGAACUGAGACACGGUCCAGACUCCUACGGGAGGCAGCAGUGGGGAAUUUUGGACAAUGGGGGCAACCCUGAUCCAGCCAUGCCGCGUGAGUGAAGAAGGCCUCGGUUGUAAG
This 395-nucleotide ribosomal RNA is filed under the name uncultured bacterium. RNAcentral describes it as "bacterial SSU rRNA". It matches the Rfam family "Bacterial small subunit ribosomal RNA", at positions 30 to 429 of the family's 1533-position model. The record is from RNAcentral.